GCAGAGGUAGCGAAGCGGUCAAACGUGUAAGGCUAAGGACCUUAUGGCUCAGGCCUUCGAGGGUUCAAAUCCCUCCCUCUGCA
Non-coding RNA from Candidatus Parvarchaeum acidophilus ARMAN-5, 83 nucleotides. The record is from Rfam. Lineage: Archaea; Nanobdellati; Candidatus Parvarchaeota.